GUUCUGUCUGUCUAACCACACUGACAUGUACUGCUCUCUGGGUGAGGUUCUGUCUGUCUAACACACUGACAUGUACAGCUCUCUGGGUGAGGUUCUGUCUGUCUAACCACACUGACAUGUACAGCUCUCUGGGUGAGGUUCUGUCUGUCUAACCACACUGACAUGUACAGCUCUCUGGGUGAGGUUCUGUCUGUCUAACCACACUGACAUGUACAGCUCUCUGGGUGAAGUUCUGUCUGUCUAACCACACUGACAUGUACAGCUCUCUGGGUGAGGUUCUGUCUGUCUAACCACACUGACAUGCACAGUUCUCUGGGUGAUGUUCUGUCUGUCUAACCACACUGACAUGUACAGCUCUCUGGGUGAUGUUCUGUCUGUCUAACCGCAC
This 388-nucleotide long non-coding RNA is filed under the name Salmo salar (Atlantic salmon). Its description in RNAcentral is "lncRNA (ENSSSAG00000083783.1)". Lineage: Eukaryota; Metazoa; Chordata; Actinopteri; Salmoniformes; Salmonidae. The record is from RNAcentral.